CAUUUUUCUGAUUGUCUGCUGGUCGGCUAUUAGAAAAGAAAGAUCGGCUAAAUCCUUCGGACCUGAUCAACUUCAUCCCGGAGCUACUGAUUUCAACUACUUCGGCCUAACUCUCCGAAACGAUGAAUUACACAAGUUUUAUUUUCGCUUUCCAGCUUUGCAUAAUU
Felis catus (domestic cat) is the source of this 167-nucleotide regulatory RNA element. It matches the Rfam family "Interferon gamma 5' UTR regulatory element". Rfam says of the family: This family represents a pseudoknot containing stem-loop structure found in the 5' UTR of interferon (IFN) gamma mRNA. This structure is thought to be involved in translational regulation and the pseudoknot has been found to activate PKR which is known to be a translational inhibitor. Mutations in the pseudoknot structure have been found to reduce PKR activation and increase the translation of IFN-gamma. Lineage: Eukaryota; Metazoa; Chordata; Mammalia; Carnivora; Felidae. The record is from Rfam.